CGAGUCGAACGGACUCAUACUGAAACCUAGUGAUUUAUGAGUUAGUGGCGGACCGGUGAGUAACGCGUGGAUAACCUGCCGUAUACCGGGGGAUAACACUUAGAAAUAGGUGCUAAUACCGCAUGAGCGCACAGCUCCGCAUGGGGCGGUGUGAAAAACUCCGGUGGUAUACGAUGGAUCCGCGUCUGAUUAGCCAGUUGGCGGGGUAACGGCCCACCAAAGCGACGAUCAGUAGCCGGCCUGAGAGGGUGAACGGCCACAUUGGGACUGAGACACGGCCCAGACUCCUACGGGAGGCAGCAGUGGGGAAUAUUGCACAAUGGGGGAAACCCUGAUGCAGCGACGCCGCGUGAGUGAAGAAGUAUCUCGGUAUGUAAAGCUCUAUCAGCAGGAAAGAUAAUGACGGUACCUGACUAAGAAGCCCCGGCUAACUACGUGCCAGCAGCCGCGGUAAUACGUAGGGGGCAAGCGUUAUCCGGAUUUACUGGGUGUAAAGGGAGCGUAGACGGCAGCGCAAGUCUGGAGUGAAAUGCCGGGGCCCAACCCCGGAACUGCUUUGGAAACUGUGCGGCUCGAGUGCGGGAGAGGUAGGCGGAAUUCCUAGUGUAGCGGUGAAAUGCGUAGAUAUUAGGAGGAACACCAGUGGCGAAGGCGGCUUACUGGACCGUAACUGACGUUGAGGCUCGAAAGCGUGGGGAGCAAACAGGA
RNAcentral lists this ribosomal RNA (708 nucleotides) under uncultured bacterium. RNAcentral describes it as "bacterial SSU rRNA". It matches the Rfam family "Bacterial small subunit ribosomal RNA", at positions 58 to 777 of the family's 1533-position model. The record is from RNAcentral.